This 486-nucleotide ribosomal RNA is filed under the name uncultured bacterium. RNAcentral's name for it is "partial 16S ribosomal RNA". It matches the Rfam family "Bacterial small subunit ribosomal RNA", at positions 29 to 507 of the family's 1533-position model. The record is from RNAcentral.
AUUGAACGCUGGCGGCAUGCCUUACACAUGCAAGUCGAACGGCAGCACGGGGGGUAACCCCUGGUGGCGAGUGGCGAACGGGUGAGUAAUAUAUCGGAACGUGACCUGUAGCGGGGGAUAACCUAUCGAAAGAUGGACUAAUACCGCAUACGACCUACGGGUGAAAGCGGAGGACCGCAAGGCUUCGCACUAUAGGAGCGGCCGAUAUCGGAUUAGCUAGUUGGCGGGGUAACGGCCCACCAAGGCGACGAUCCGUAGCUGGUCUGAGAGGACGAUCAGCCACACUGGAACUGAGACACGGUCCAGACUCCUACGGGAGGCAGCAGUGGGGAAUUUUGGACAAUGGGCGCAAGCCUGAUCCAGCCAUGCCGCGUGAGUGAAGAAGGCCUUCGGGUUGUAAAGCUCUUUCGGCGGGGACGAAACGGUUCGUGCUAAUACCACGGACUACUGACGGUACCCGCAGAAGAAGCACCGGCUAACUACGUG